Long non-coding RNA from Coregonus clupeaformis (lake whitefish), 371 nucleotides. RefSeq lists it as uncharacterized. The transcript is spliced from 3 exons. The record is from RefSeq and is a predicted model, not a curated record. NCBI's taxonomy places the organism in Eukaryota, Metazoa, Chordata, Actinopteri, Salmoniformes, Salmonidae.
AGAUCUGAAUAACCAGCGUUGUCUUGACAGCUGCUUCCUAUUUUAGUCAUCUUCAGCUCUUUGUCAGUAGUGCUGGAGCAGUAGAGUGUCAGUCCUGUUGUAACAGAAACACCCAGCAGCAACACAGAUACAACACAACACACAGGAGUGUUGUGUCAGCAGAGAGGAGACCUGAGGCUGUGUGGUGGGGCCAUCCAUGUUGCCGUCCUCCCACUAUCACUCCCUCCACCCUAUCCUCCUCUCCUCUUCCUCCUCUUCCUCCGCCUGCUGCAGAGAGCGUCCCAGCUCCCACUCUCCUCUCUCCCCACCUGCCGUCCUGCAUCUCUGAGUCCCUCUUCCCCACACAACAACCCCACAGCACUCCUCGCCCC